AAUCGAUGGUCCACUGACACUUCUGCUCGGAUGGGCUUGGAUCCGACUGCCUUAUCUAUCGCCGCUUCCUAGGGAACCCCGCAGUUUUCCGCUAGCAAACAGGUGGCGUAACUGGGAGCGCGGUGACCGACGAUAUAGAUAUCUGACGCUAAAUCACUUUAGGAAGGCCUUUGAUGAACUUCAGGAAGGCCAGGUUAGUUUUCAUUUAAAGAUGUAUUACUUUUAGAUUUUCUAUUUGAGCUAAAUAUGAUGAAGCAUUGGUAUUGUAACUGUGAUGUGGGUUGUAAAAUGAUUUUCAUUUAUGAUUGGCAGUUUGUGUGGGCUGGUUAUUCUGUGAAUCGCGUGGAUCCGAAUAUAAUUCCUCCUGAAAUCUACAUGCAGUCGGUUGUUUGGAGCGCAACAGUGCCGUUGGUGUCAUUCGAAUGCAUCGAGUGGCAUGCUACCGAUAGGAUUAGGCGACAGUUCAAUUUCGUUCAGGGGGUACCUUGUCAGGAACAGAAUCUGGACAAGGCGCAUGGAGAAGUCCUGACUGGUCCUAAGAAUCUUAACUGGGCCACGGCACCGACUCAUUCAUACUGGGUAAUGCAUUGGACAAACAGGUAUAACCACGUUCUUUCUAAGGUUCCAAUGCCCUCACAAUAUCCAUUGGAGUCUUACAUGAACUGGUACCGAUCUAAAUUUGGCGACCGAUUAUAUUUGUCGAACCUUGUUGUAGAAGAGAAUGAUGAGGGUAAUCAGGAUAUGGAUGAGGGUAACGAGGAGAUGGAUCAGGGUAAUGAGGAUAUGGAAGAGGGUAGUGAGGAUGCGGAUGAUGACAAUGAGGAACAGGAGCCGCUAUCGCCGCCACCACCACCUCCCAAUCCGAUUCCACAAGAUCAACCUUAAUCCUCAGGCCAGUAUGUACCUCAGACACAGUUUACCACGUCAUUUCCAAUGCAUCAACAAUAUUGGGGUAUGCCACAGUUUGAAACAGGAGAAGGAGGUUCUUUUAGCCAAUUGCUUGGGUUCAUGGCUGCAGAUGCUGGACAUUCACAAUAUCGCAGUCAGUCUGAUUUCAUGGCAGGUAGGUAUUCGUUGGAUGCGAGGCUUCCAUGCCAUACCUCAUCGGUUGCUUCUGGAGGAUUCGUGUUAGUUGACUCUAGUAGAAGUGAAGGCGGGCGUGGAGUUCUUAAUAGUCAAAAUCCUAACCGUGUUACCAUGGAACCUCUUGAAGAAGAUGCUAACACACUCGAAGAAGACACCAAUGCGUAUCUAGUAGAUGAACCGGAUGACGAGGAUGAUGCUGACGAGGACGAUAUAGAGGAGUUCGACGACGAUGAGGAAUCGCGUAAUGAUGGUCAUUGUGACACUCCGGAUGACAAAGCCAAAGGUUACAAUCUGAGGAUUGAUCCGCCACGCCGUAGCGCUAAUCGCUACACUCCAUCCGUGUUCAAAAAGGCCGCUAAAAAAUGCAAGAACUUUGUGAAGGACGUGAAGUGGGCAAUGAGAAAGUAGUUGUGGUGUAACUAACUUGUUUGUGUAGUAAUAAUGUCCAUUAGGUUUAGAAUACUUUAUAUGUAUUUGACAGUAUGUAUUAAUGAAAUAGACUGUGGUAACAUUACUUUGUAUGUUCAUAAUCUUUUAGUAUUAAUGAACUUAUUUAUGUAUUAA
Non-coding RNA from Arachis ipaensis, 1650 nucleotides. Lineage: Eukaryota; Viridiplantae; Streptophyta; Magnoliopsida; Fabales; Fabaceae. The record is from RefSeq and is a predicted model, not a curated record.